GAUUUCUGGUUUGGUGCGCGCGGUCCGCUGCGGUUUCGUAGCGUGUGCUGUUGUGCGCCUGCCAUCGUUUGAGGCAGGGACGUGCUCUUCACUGGGUGCGUCUUUAUCUCAAUCUUUUACUUUGAAAAAAUUAGAGUGUUCAAAGCAGGCUUGCGCUAUGAAUACAUUAGCAUGGAAUAAUAAUAUAGGACUUCUGUUCUAUUUUGUUGGUUUCUAGGAUGGAAGUAAUGAUUGAUAGGGACAGUUGGGGGUGCUAGUAUUCAGAGGCCAGAGGUGAAAUUCUUGGAUUCUCUGAAGACUAACUUAUGCGAAAGCAUU
This 318-nucleotide ribosomal RNA is filed under the name uncultured Sarcomonadea. RNAcentral describes it as "SSU rRNA". The stretch from base 96 to 318 matches the Rfam family "Eukaryotic small subunit ribosomal RNA", at positions 731 to 955 of the family's 1831-position model. The record is from RNAcentral. Lineage: Eukaryota; Cercozoa.